UGAGUACGAGACGCUAAGGCGUUGAAGCAGUCUAUGUCAGACUUCCAAGAAAAGCUUGCACUGUCAAAAACAAAUAAUGCCUGUACCAUAACCGACACAGGUGGGUAGGUAGAGUAUACUAAGGGGCGCGAGAUAACUCUCUCUAAGGAACUCGGCAAAAUGACUCCGUAACUUCGGGAGAAGGAGUGCCUUAUUUUUAUAAGGUUGCAAUAACAAGAUCCAAGCAACUGUUUACCAAAAACACAGGUCUCCGCUAAGUCGUAAGACGAUGUAUGGGGGCUGACGCCUGCCCAGUGCCAGAAGGUUAAAGAAGUUGGUUAGUUUCGGCGAAGCUGAUGACUAAGCCCUGGUGAACGGCGGCCGUAACAAUAACGGUCCUAAGGUAGCGAAAUUCCUUGUCGGGUAAGUUCCGACCCGCACGAAAGGCGUAAUGAUUUGGAUACUGUCUCGGAGAGGGGCUCGGUGAAAUAGACUUGUCUGUGAAGAUGCGGACUACCUGCACCUGGACAGAAAUACCCUAUGAAGCUUUACUGUAACUUGAGAUUGAAAUUGGACUUUAUUUGCGCAGUAUAGGUGGGAGACGUUGAGAAUAUUCUUGCGGGAAUAUUGGAGUCAUCAGUGAGAUACCACUCUUGUAAUGUUAGAUUUCUAACUUUGUAUCAUUAUCUGGUCAAAGGACAGUUUCAGGCGGGCAGUUUGACUGGGGCGGUCGCCUCCCAAACGGUAACGGAGGCGCACAAAGGUUUCCUCUGAACGUGUAGAAAUCGUAUCUAGAGUGUAAAGGCAUAAGGAAGCUUGACUGUGAGACCUACAAGUCGAGCAGGGACGAAAGUCGGUCUUAGUGAUCUGACGGUGCUGAGUGGAAAGGCCGUCACUCAACGGAUAAAAGUUACUCUAAGGAUAACAGGCUGAUCACCCCCAAGAGUUCACAUCGACGGGGAGGUUUGGCACCUCGAUGUCGGCUCAUCGCAUCCUGGGGCGGUAGUACGUCCCAAGGGUUGGGCUGUUCGCCCAUGAAAGCGGUACGCGAGCUGGGUUCAGAACGUCGUGAGACAGUUCGGUCCAUAUCCGGUGUAGGCGUUAGAAUAUUGAGAGGAGCCUUCUUUAGUACGAGAGGACCGAGAAGGACAUACCUCUGGUGUACCAGUUAUCGUGCAAACGGUAAACGCUGGGUAGCUAUGUAUGGAGUGGAUAACCGCUGAAAGCAUCUAAGUGGGAAGCCCACCUCAAGAUAAGUAUUCC
Molecule: ribosomal RNA, 1242 nt
Filed under: metagenome
Description: bacterial LSU rRNA
Rfam family: Bacterial large subunit ribosomal RNA
Source: RNAcentral